Molecule: long non-coding RNA, 872 nt
Filed under: Phasianus colchicus (ring-necked pheasant)
Lineage: Eukaryota; Metazoa; Chordata; Aves; Galliformes; Phasianidae
Description: lncRNA (ENSPCLG00000017066.1)
Source: RNAcentral
AGACCUUCAGAUCAACAUCCUUACAAAUCCUGACUGCUUGUCAAAAACACAAUUUGAAAUUACUGGAUUGCCAGAGAGAAGAAACCAGGUGAGAAUCCAGUUUUACAGAACAGCAUCCAGCCAUCCUCACACUUGAAAGGUGCCAGCUGGCCAUUAUUGCUACAGAGGUGUUACAGACAAAUGCAUCUCUAUAGAUGUAGACAGCAUUCGUGUUACAUCCUGAUAGGAAAAGAUUCUCAUAGACUGGUGUGUGAUCACAUAGUUAAUGCUUCUGUGUUGCUGAGGUAAGGUGCAAAGAUAACUGUGAAUCUAACUUCCCUCAAAUGUUAAACUUGCAGUUUAAAAAAGCUUGUAUCUUGCUGCUACUUGCAUCUCUCUUCCUCAGUUUAUAACAAAGAGAACUAAAUUUUGCAAAGAAAUCAUGUCUAAUCUGCUCAAAUGGUUUAACAGCAGAACUGGAAAGUGUAUUUACUGCACAGACAUGUUGAUGCUUGUAUCAGUAAAACUGUUAUAUAUUUCACUUAAGUUGAAAAUUAAUUAAUAUUUGUAACCUAAUGUUUCCUAACAUGGGGGUUUUAGUCAAAGCCUAUCUCAAGUAUCUCGUAUUUAGUCAAGCAAAUUCCUUACUUUAAAUAAUACUUGUUUCUACUUUUCUCAUUUCAGUAGGAAAAAAAUUAUCCCCUAGUCUUUUUCUUCGUUCUUGCUCUCACUGUUCCUUACUCUUGUGUUUUUUUUUUUUUUUUUUGCAGGCUCUCUUGUACUGCUUGCUUCUGUCCCUGUCUGAACAUCUGCUUCUUUGCACUAUGACUCCUGCCUCAGUUCUUCCCCCUCUAGGCACAUUAUCGCUGAUAGAAUUUGAUGUUAAAGUAUGA